UACGGAGGGUGCAAGCGUUAUCCGGAUUUAUUGGGUUUAAAGGGUCCGUAGGCGGGUCUUUAAGUCAGUGGUGAAAGCCUGCAGCUUAACUGUAGAAUUGCCAUUGAUACUGGAGACCUUGAGUACACUUGGAGUAAGCGGAAUGUGUCAUGUAGCGGUGAAAUGCUUAGAUAUGACCCAGAACACCGAUCGCGAAAGCAGCUUACUAAAUUGUUACUGACGCUGAGGGACGAAAGCGUGGGGAGCGAACAGG
Molecule: ribosomal RNA, 253 nt
Filed under: uncultured bacterium
Lineage: Bacteria
Description: partial 16S ribosomal RNA
Rfam family: Bacterial small subunit ribosomal RNA
Source: RNAcentral